This 87-nucleotide transfer RNA is filed under the name Acidithiobacillus ferrivorans. Its description in RNAcentral is "tRNA-Leu". It matches the Rfam family "tRNA". Rfam says of the family: Transfer RNA (tRNA) molecules are approximately 80 nucleotides in length. Their secondary structure includes four short double-helical elements and three loops (D, anti-codon, and T loops). The record is from RNAcentral. Lineage: Bacteria; Pseudomonadati; Pseudomonadota; Acidithiobacillia; Acidithiobacillales; Acidithiobacillaceae.
GCCCCGAUGGUGGAAUGGCAGACACACAGGUCUCAGAAGUCGGGGCCAGCAAAUGGCAUGCAAGUUCAAGUCUUGCUCGGGGUACCA